AUACGUAGGUGACAAGCGUUAUCCGGAUUUACUGGGUGUAAAGGGCGUGUAGGCGGUUUAGCAAGUCAGAAGUGAAAUUCCCGGGCUUAACUUGGGCGCUGCUUCCGAAACUGCUUUACUUGAGUGCUGGAGAGGAUAGUGGAAUUCCUAGUGUAGCGGUAAAAUGCACAGAUAUUAGGAGGAACACCGGUGGCGAAGGCGUCUAUCUGGACAGUAACUGACGCUGAGGCGCAAAAGCACGGGGAGCAAACAGGAUUAGAUACCCUGUUGGUCCGGGCCGUAAACGAUGAAUGCUAGGUGUUGGGGGGCAAAGCCCUUCGGUGCCGCCGCAAACGCAGUAAGCAUUCCACCUGGGGAGUACGUUCGCAAGAAUGAAACUCAAAGGAAUUGACGGGG
RNAcentral lists this ribosomal RNA (396 nucleotides) under uncultured bacterium. Its description in RNAcentral is "partial 16S ribosomal RNA". It matches the Rfam family "Bacterial small subunit ribosomal RNA", at positions 523 to 918 of the family's 1533-position model. The record is from RNAcentral.